Molecule: long non-coding RNA, 2364 nt
Organism: Hyla sarda
Lineage: Eukaryota; Metazoa; Chordata; Amphibia; Anura; Hylidae
Exons: 3
Source: RefSeq, a predicted model, not a curated record
AGUGACAGUGUUUACACCUGCUUGGAUCAUCACCGGGGUUCUCUCGGUGGAGGUGUCUACUUUACCAGCCACUUUUUGCUUAGUCCAGGACAUGAGCCAUUUCUUCUUCUCUUGCGUGGUCUCAGGUCCAUAUUUGUGGGACAGUUUGAAGAGCUGAGUGGCUUUCUGCAAGUCCAGGGCUUGGGUAAACUGGUUGAUCCCAGGAGAAACAGUGGUGGCGGGGUGUGUGGUGCAGGGCAGAUGUUGUUACCCUAGGGGAAGAUGGCAUUAACCUCUUGUAUUUGUGAUGCCAGGGUGUGGUUUAGCCUAUAACCACCCGAAGGUAUACCGCUGAAUCCUGGGCUAGGAAGGGGGGGAAUAAAGACUCCAAUGCCAAGUUACGGACAAUGGUAGCUUUACUGAAGGUAGACAGUUUGUUAAAGUCUAUACAGUUCAUCCAGGGCCCAAGGAGGUGAUCAGUGACACAGAGACCUUAAGGGCUUGCUGGGACUUGUAGUAGGACUGGACAAUUGAAUGCAGACCACGCAGACUUGACAGAUGACAGGGACUGACUUGACUCAUAAAGCUGUGACUUUAGCUUACUUGAAUUGUUGGUGGCUGCAGGACUUGAUUUUGAGGCCUCCAACACUCUGGACACACACACUAGGCACGACUGCUCUGGACCUCAGCUUAGCAGAAGCUAGCUCCACCCAGGGCUUAUAUGGGGGAGACUAGCAGGGAGCCCAUAGGUCACUCUUGGGAUCACCUGGUCACUGGUACCUCCUGGGUAACAAUCACAUGAUAUAUCACAUGGUAUAACUCUUAAAACAACAUUACAUUGUAAAACAUAUUUACAAUGUGGAAACAAGUGCAGGGGGCCUUGGGACAGUGAAGGAGGCUGCCUGACAGGACAGCAGGAGCACGGGGUAACACCUCCCGUACUGGGCCACCACAGAACCUUGAGACCUUUGUAUAGGAUGAAUCUUUGGCACUGGAGCCGGACGUAGCACAGACUUUUUAUGAAGCCGGUGAGAUCUCUGUUGGGUUGAAUGUUCUGACCAAUUUGAAUGUUCAGGCCAAAGUUCUCUGGCACCUUCUGGAACAGUAGGUUCACUAUUUUCUUCACUUCAGCCUUCUUGACCACAAAUGGGUCCAGAGCCACCUCCUUCCCCUUGGCUUUUUUUUCCUUUUGGCAUGGUGAACGUGGAUAGGGAAGCGUAUCUUACUAUUAUAAUAAUUAUUCAUGCCAAGUCCUCCAUAGUGAGAGCUCUUUUCAGCAGCUGUGUGUUGUAGUGAGAAAGGGCCUUCAUUAAAGGGAUAUUCCUAGCAGCCAAUCAGGCAGUGAUUGGCUGAGCAGGCAGGUCCUUCUCCAAGCUCUGGUCUUAGAAGCAGGCAGAAGACAGGGGCAGUGGAGGAUCGGGAGCAGACAAAAUGGGAGCUGCAACAGUACCUGCAGGGGACCCGUGAUAGGAAAUACCCAGUCAGCUGAUCACAGACCACAGUAGUGACCGGCUCGGACAGGGAUGGCUGUGCAAGCAUUCUCACCCAUUCACUGUGGAUCCAAGUGCCUAGUACCUCUGAACCACAAAACAUCUUUAGUUCUGCAAGGUAAUGUGUGUACACCUUUAAGUAAAUCUGCCCCUUUAUGGAUCCACUUCUGACUUUGGCUCAAAAACUGCAGUGGCAGAUAUCCAAAAACUGCCAGAAAAACCCCAAGUGGAAACAUAGCCUAAGGAUGAAAAGUUAUCAUUGUCGUGAUGAGUACACUGGUUCGGCUUGUUACAGAUAGGCCACAUAGCAGAAAGGCCGUGGAUGUUCCGUCUGGAUUUACAGAAUGUAUCAACAAAGAAUUGACCUCUAGUACUAAUUUUUCAAUCCGCAGCAUUUCUCUUUGUGGAUUGGACGCAGCGUUGAGUUCAAUAGAGAAGUCCAAGUGUAGAUUUUUCUGUUUAUUCCCAUGUAUCCCUCAUGGCUUUAGGGAAAGUUGUUGAACGCCAUUAUUAAACAACAGAUCUUCUUAAUAUACUGAUUGCAGAAUACUCCUUUAAGCUUUGAGACAUGAACCCCAGUUUUUGAAACACAAACAUUUUGGAAAAACAACAACAUUGUUUCCUAUUACAACUAAACAAAAAUAUUUUUUAUUACAGUACUUUUUAUUUAGGAAUAUAAAUAUAUACGUGACGCAUGCAUUCACUUCUAUACAGUGUAUUUGAGAAUAUGUAUCUUUAAUCCUUAUUUUUUUUUUUAAGUACCAGUAAUGUAUUUUGUGCAUGCAAACAUUUCUAAACUGGAGCUUUUAUUUUCAGAAUUUAAGCUUCUGAAUGUAUAUAUUUUAUCUGAAAUGUUAUUCUGAAUUCAUCUGGAAAAUUAAAAAUCCCAUAUACU